RNAcentral lists this ribosomal RNA (507 nucleotides) under uncultured microeukaryote. Its description in RNAcentral is "bacterial SSU rRNA". It matches the Rfam family "Eukaryotic small subunit ribosomal RNA", at positions 21 to 552 of the family's 1831-position model. The record is from RNAcentral.
UAGUUAUAUGCUUGUUCUAAAGAUUAAGCCAUGCAUGUGUCGGAAUAUGUCUGUAUAGACGAAUCUGCAAACGGCUCAUUAUAACAGUGAUUGCAUAAUUGACUUUCUUAAACGGAUAACCGUGGGAAACUAAGGCUAAUACGAGCCAAUUUUGCCAGAUUUCAUUCUGUGCUGUAUUUCUUGUGUUAUAAGUCCAGGGCGCUCUGCGUGUUCGAUGAAACGCAGGAACUUUUCGAGUCGAAUAAUCGAUGCGUCAAAGUGGUUUCUGACCUAUCAGCUUUCGACGGUAGGGUAUUGGCCUACCGCGGCAAUGACGGGUAACGGGGAAUUAGGGUUUGAUUCCGGAGAGGGAGCCUGAGAAAUGGCUACCACGUCUAAGGAUGGCAGCAGGCGCGCAAAUUACCCAAUCCUGAAACAGGGAGGUAGUGACAGAAAAUAGCAACACAAAGCAUUUGCUUUUUGAUUGCAAUGUGGAUCUUCCAAAUUUUGCUUCGAGAAUCAAUUAGG